GUAGGGAAUCUUCCACAAUGGACGAAAGUCUGACGGAGCAACGCCGCGUGAGUGAAGAAGGUUUUCGGAUCGUAAAGCUCUUUCGUUAGGGACGAACGUGCUCUUUGUGAAUAAUGAGGAGUAAUGACGGUACCUAAAUAAGAAGCCACGGCUAACUACGUGCCAGCAGCCGCGGUAAUACGUAGGUGGCAAGCGUUGUCCGGAAUUAUUGGGCGUAAAGCGCGCGCAGGCGGGAUAUCAAGUCUGUCUUAAAAGUGCGAGGCUCAACCUCGUGAGGGGACAGAAACUGGUAUUCUUGAGUGUCGGAGAGGAAAGUGGAAUUCCAAGUGUAGCGGUGAAAUGCGUAGAGAUUUGGAAGAACACCAGUGGCGAAGGCGACUUUCUGGACGAUGUCUGACGCUGAGGCGCGAAAGCUAGGGGAGCGAACGGGAUUAGAAACCCCUGUAGUCC
Molecule: ribosomal RNA, 450 nt
Filed under: uncultured bacterium
Lineage: Bacteria
Description: partial 16S ribosomal RNA
Rfam family: Bacterial small subunit ribosomal RNA
Source: RNAcentral